RNAcentral lists this ribosomal RNA (856 nucleotides) under Tylospora fibrillosa. RNAcentral's name for it is "eukaryotic LSU rRNA". The stretch from base 293 to 447 matches the Rfam family "5.8S ribosomal RNA". The record is from RNAcentral. Lineage: Eukaryota; Fungi; Basidiomycota; Agaricomycetes; Atheliales; Atheliaceae.
UCUCCGGAUUGGCUUUGGGGAGCCGGCGACGGCACCCUAUUGCUGAGAAGCUGAUCAAACUUGGUCAUUUAGAGGAAGUAAAAGUCGUAACAAGGUUUCCGUAGGUGAACCUGCGGAAGGAUCAUUAUUGAAUUAUUAGGCGAGGGUUGUCGCUGGCCUCUCGGGGCAUGUGCACGCCCGAGCCAUCCCCAACAAACACCGUGGGCCUUCGGGCCCGCGUAUAUUUACUCUGAAUGUGUAUAGAAUGUAAACCAUUUCGUUCGUCCUGAAAAAGCGAACGAAAAAAAAGUACAACUUUCAACAACGGAUCUCUUGGCUCUCGCAUCGAUGAAGAACGCAGCGAAAUGCGAUAAGUAAUGUGAAUUGCAGAUUUUCAGUGAAUCAUCGAAUCUUUGAACGCACCUUGCGCCCCUUGGUAUUCCGAGGGGCAUGCCUGUUUGAGUGUCAUUAAAUCCUCAACCGCGCCGAUUGAUUUUCGGUGGGGCUUGGACUUUGGAGCGUGCUGGCGAAGGUCGGCUCCUCUUUAAAUGCAUCAGCGGAAGAAACCUUUGUCUUUCCCGCCUUCGGUGUGAUAAUCGCGUUGCGCCGUGGUGGAACUUCAACGAUCCGCUUACAAUGGUCUUCGGACGAAACCUCAUGUCAUCUUGACCUCAAAUCAGGUAGGACUACCCGCUGAACUUAAGCAUAUCAAUAAGCGGAGGAAAAGAAACUAACAAGGAUUCCCCUAGUAACUGCGAGUGAAGCGGGAAAAGCUCAAAUUUAAAAUCUGGCGGUCCUCGCGGCCGUCCGAGUUGUAAUCUGGAGAAGCGUUUUCCGCGUCGGANCGUGUACAAGUCUUCUGGAAUGGAGCGUCGUA